ACUGGAGUCACAGAGUCGCCUUUGAACCGCAAGUGAACUUGAGUGCUGCACUAGCAGCCCGGCUCCGGCUGCCGCCGGCGCCCCGAGGCCUCCCAUACCUGCACCCUAAGCAGUUCAGAGUUGGCUUCUGUUUUCCGUUAGCGCUUUGCUGCACGGACAAAUGCAUACAAAUGCAUUUAAGAGCCCACAGAACAAGGCGUGGAAAAGUCUCCCCCACGGCAAAAACGAGCGGCCGAGUACCCGCGGUAUCUUCCCCUUGUCUUCUCAGCUUGCAAAAUACCGUGUUUGAAAGGAUGCCUCGUGCCAGCAGAUCUCAGACAGUUUAUGCUAAAGCGAUCUUUUGGCUCGAGAGGAAAAGCUCGCUGGCGCGAGUCCCGAGGUCCAGGGCAGCGGCUCCCGAAGCUCCAGAGCUGGGCUCCGACGAUCUCUCUGGCUCCAGCUCCCGCCGCCCUCGCGCCCUCCUCCCCUUCUCCUCCCGCAGGGUCCUGUCGAGGUCCUGCUUCCCCGAGGUGCUUCUCAGGGCGUCCAGCCUGGCGUUUGCUGUGACGCUAGAGGUCCCCCAGGGUCGGUGUGCGCAGCCUGGACCACUGGACUCAGGCGUGAGGAAGGGUCGCCAGCGGGGGGAAGGGGGUGGCUGCAGAACCUCGGGCGUCGGGGGGUUGCUUUUACCCACGGGCUCAGAGGCAAUCCCCUCUGGUUAGAAGGCCAAAAAACGUUGCCCAUCCGAGCCGAGGCUGCGCCCUGAUCAUUGCCCUGUCACUGGGGAAGUGGCACUCGCGGCGGGGACUGGGGAGGGGAGCAGGACAUGGGGGCGGGCCUGCCCCUCCUGUGGAGGUUUUGAGCGGGUCCUGACGGGCACCCCACCUCCCCUUUGGGCGCUGUACCUGCUCCCAUGCCUUCCCUGGGAAAAGGGCUCGGACCAGGGGUUGCGCGGCUUUGGCUGGAUGCCCUGGUCCCCCUGGAAGAAGUCAGUGGGUUACACAAGUUUGCUUCUGGCCCCUGGGCGAGAAGGGUGAACGCGGCUGUGGAAGUCUUCUGCAGAGAGGCUGCCCCUCAGGAGGCUAGGUGGGAGGAGGGCAAGGAACAGAAUUGACCGUGUCAGCUGAGGGCAGGCGGAGGCGGGGUGCGGAGAAAGAGCGCCUUGUGGUCGUGUUUGUAUGAACAUGUGCUUCCCAGCCGCGUGCAGCCCAGCCUGGCUGGGGCUCGCGCGCGCGCUCUCUUCCGACCCCCGGAAGCCUCGCUGCUGGGCUUCCCAGCUGACCAGAUGCACCUCCCCGCACACCCCCAUCCCCAUGCAACAGUGAAGAGGAAACCUCCCAAUCUCCUCAACCCCGUGCGGGCAGCGCGGUGCUGGAGGCUGGGGAGUCCCUGGAGCGAGUAGAGGUCAAGCUCUGCUUGAGAAGGGUUGCCUUCUCAGAGCGGCUCACGCAGGUCGCAUGGGGUUCCCAGGCAGAAGAUUUCCCGCCACUGUUCUCGAUAAACAUCCCUCUGUGUGGACCAGCCUGGAGAGUCGGGGGUUGCAGCCGAUCCUGCGGAACUGACAGAUCUUCCCGCUGAUCAGGGGCGGAUGCAGAGAGGCUCUAGCCCUGCCAGCCUGGAGACUCCAGGAGAGGCGGAGUGAGGCCCUCCACCUCUUGCCCAGCCAGCCUCCGCAUGCGGCCCUCCUGCAGCUCCUGCCCCGAGGGCUUUCCCUCUGCCACCGCGCGAGGCCCACGCUGGUGACUAACACUCCCCUUGGUAGUUGUGACCAACCACCGGAGUUAAAGCAGAUCUGCUCCUGGGUUUUGUCUUGUCUGGUUUACACUUCCCUUCCAGACGCUCCCAGAAAAGUCCCUGCAUAAAUUCUUGGGCAGUUUGGGGUUUGUAAAUUGGGUCCAGAUGAUUUGGGGGGAGGGAGGCAGAGAAACCAAAUAGAAUGGAUUGCACCGGAGGAAAUUCUGAAGAAAAAUUAUAAAACGUGGAAUGGGAAGAGAACCCUUGUGCAGAGACGUGGGGAUAAGUAGCAGGUUCUGGAUGAAGGUGUUUGUCUCCCAUGACCACCAGAGGCCUUGCAGCCCUUGGUUAUCUCAUAAUAUCCAAUUUGUUCUAUUACAGGGGCCAUUAGGGAUGGGCUGCAGAGAAUUAAGGGUAAUUCAUAAUUACAUCAGAUUACAGAACUCACAGCUCCAACCACACAUGCAAACUUGGGAAAGAUAGUUAAUGAUUGGGCUGAAAAAAUUGUUUCUAGAAAAUCCAAUUUUCAUAAAUAAUUUGGAAUUUUUCCCUUUGAAAAAUAAUGCCACCAACCCUUCGGAGUUUGAGGCGGGGCGGGGCGGGGGGGCUGGAUUUGGAAGAAGUAGCUGAUUUAUAAUGUUAGGCCACUGAAUUAAACCUUAGAGUCUCUG
Molecule: small RNA, 2384 nt
Filed under: Pan troglodytes (chimpanzee)
Lineage: Eukaryota; Metazoa; Chordata; Mammalia; Primates; Hominidae
Description: processed transcript
Source: RNAcentral